GACGAACGCUGGCGGCGUGCUUAACACAUGCAAGUCGAGCGGUAAGGCCCUUUCGGGGGUACACGAGCGGCGAACGGGUGAGUAACACGUGGGUGACCUGCCCUCAGCUCUGGGAUAAGCCUGGGAAACUGGGUCUAAUACCGGAUAUGACUCCAUGACGCAUGUUGUGGGGUGGAAAGCCUUGUGCGGCUGAGGAUGGGCCCGCGGCCUAUCAGCUUGUUGGUGGGGUGANGGCCUACCAAGGCGACGACGGGUAGCCGGCCUGAGAGGGCGACCGGCCACACUGGGACUGAGACACGGCCCAGACUCCUACGGGAGGCAGCAGUGGGGAAUAUUGGACAAUGGGCGCAAGCCUGAUCCAGCGAUGCCGCGUGUGUGAAGAAGGCCUGGC
RNAcentral lists this ribosomal RNA (391 nucleotides) under uncultured bacterium. RNAcentral's name for it is "bacterial SSU rRNA". It matches the Rfam family "Bacterial small subunit ribosomal RNA", at positions 28 to 423 of the family's 1533-position model. The record is from RNAcentral.